This 497-nucleotide ribosomal RNA is filed under the name uncultured bacterium. Its description in RNAcentral is "partial 16S ribosomal RNA". It matches the Rfam family "Bacterial small subunit ribosomal RNA", at positions 28 to 507 of the family's 1533-position model. The record is from RNAcentral.
GACGAACGCUGGCGGCGUGCCUAAUACAUGCAAGUUGAGCGCUGAAGGUUGGUACUUGUACCAACUGGAUGAGCAGCGAACGGGUGAGUAACGCGUGGGGAAUCUGCCUUUGAGCGGGGGACAACAUUUGGAAACGAAUGCUAAUACCGCAUAAAAACUUUAAACACAAGUUUUAAGUUUGAAAGAUGCAAUUGCAUCACUCAAAGAUGAUCCCGCGUUGUAUUAGCUAGUUGGUGAGGUAAAGGCUCACCAAGGCGAUGAUACAUAGCCGACCUGAGAGGGUGAUCGGCCAAAUUGGGACUGAGACACGGCCCAAACUCCUACGGGGAGCAGCAGUAAGGGAUCUUCGGCAAUGGACGGAAGUCUGACCGAGCAACGCCGCGGGAGGGAAGAAGGGUUUCGGAUCGGAAAACUCUGUUGGUAGGGAAGAACGAUGGGGAGAGUGGAAAGCGCAUCAAGUGACGGUAACUACCCAGAAAGGGACGGCUAACUACGUG